CUUUGUGUUUCAUUUUUUCUUUCUUUUUUCCAGUUAAACUAUUCAAUUUAUUGGUUUUUCUUACAUAAAUUAAUUACAGUUCAUUAAUCUGCUAAAAAUGUUCACUUAUUGCCUUGGCUUGAUUAGAGUCGACUGUAUCUAUAAUAAGUAAGCAUCUACGUCUUCUUCUUCUUCUGCUUCCCCAUAAGUAAGCAAGCAUCCCAGAAAGAACUUUGUA
This is a long non-coding RNA of Sebastes umbrosus (honeycomb rockfish), 217 nucleotides long. RefSeq lists it as uncharacterized. NCBI's taxonomy places the organism in Eukaryota, Metazoa, Chordata, Actinopteri, Perciformes, Sebastidae. The record is from RefSeq and is a predicted model, not a curated record. The transcript is spliced from 3 exons.